CUACGGGUGGCUCCAGUGAGGAAUAUUGGUCAAUGGGCGCAAGCCUGAACCAGCCAAUCCGCGUGCAGGAUGAAUGCCCUAUGGGUUGUAAACUGCUUUUAUACAGGAAGAAUCCUUCAUACGUGUAUGGAGCUGACUGUACUGUAAGAAUAAGCAUCGGCUAACUCCGUGCCAGCAGCCGCGGUAAUACGGAGGAUGCGAGCGUUAUCCGGAUUUAUUAGGUCUAAAGGGUGCGUAGGCGGAUAAUUAAGUCAGUGGUGAAAUCCUGCAGCUUAACUGUAGAACUGCCAUUGAUACUGGUUGUCUUGAGUUUAGUUGAGGUAAGCGGAAUGUGUAGUGUAGCGGUGAAAUGCUUAGAUAUUACACAGAACACCGAUUGCGAAGGCAGCUUACUAAGCUACAACUGACGCUGAGGCACGAAAGCGUGGGGAGCGAACAGGAUUAGAUACCCUAGUAGUC
Molecule: ribosomal RNA, 459 nt
Filed under: uncultured bacterium
Lineage: Bacteria
Description: partial 16S ribosomal RNA
Rfam family: Bacterial small subunit ribosomal RNA
Source: RNAcentral